Molecule: ribosomal RNA, 464 nt
Filed under: uncultured actinomycete
Lineage: Bacteria; Bacillati; Actinomycetota; Actinomycetes; Actinomycetales
Description: bacterial SSU rRNA
Rfam family: Bacterial small subunit ribosomal RNA
Source: RNAcentral
GACGAACGCUGGCGGCGUGCUUUACACAUGCNAGUCGAGCGAUGAGAUCCCUUCGGGGAAGGAUUAGCGGCGAACGGGUGAGGAACACGUGAGGAAUCUGCCUUCAACACUGGAUAACUCCGGGAAACCGGGGCUAAUACCGGAUACGAGACCUGCAGGCAUCUGCGGGUCUGGAAAGUUUUUCGGUUGAAGAUGACCUCGCGGCCUAUCAGCUUGUUGGUGAGGUAAUGGCUCACCAAGGCGACGACGGGUAGCCGGCCUGAGAGGGCGACCGGCCACACUGGGACUGAGACACGGCCCAGACUCCUACGGGAGGCAGCAGUGGGGAAUAUUGGGCAAUGGAGGAAACUCUGACCCAGCGACGCCGCGUGCGGGAUGAAGGCCUUCGGGUUGUAAACCGCUUUCAGCAAGGAAGAAGCGAAAGUGACGGUACUUGCAGAAGAAGCACCGGCUAACUAUGUGCC